AUGGCCAGACACGCACACCACGACCCCGACGCAGCCCGAACCGCGCCUCACACGCCCCGCGCGCGCACGCACACACGCCCGACGUGUCUCGCCGUCGCUUAUUGCCCAUCACUGGCCGUGUUCUCCCUGGCCAGCGCGUGUGGGGGGGACUGCCCGACGCCCAUGACGCCAUCAACCCCGUCGACCCCGACACCGACCCCGGCGUCGCUCGGUAGGUGCCCGCGCGACGCACCGAAGCUGGGCGUCUGCGCCAACGUGCUUGGCCUGAUCAAGGCCAAGGUGGGGCUGCCGCCCACUCUUCCCUGCUGCCCGCUGCUGAAGGGGCUCGUCGACCUCGAGGCGGCCGUGUGCCUCUGCACGGUGCUCAAGGCCAACGUCCUCGGCAUCAACCUCAACCUCCCCAUCGACCUCAGCAUCAUCCUCAACCACUGCGGCAGGAACGUGCCCACCGGCUUCAUGUGCUAA
RNAcentral lists this ribosomal RNA (465 nucleotides) under Triticum aestivum (bread wheat). RNAcentral's name for it is "partial small subunit ribosomal RNA". Lineage: Eukaryota; Viridiplantae; Streptophyta; Magnoliopsida; Poales; Poaceae. The record is from RNAcentral.